UACGUAGGGUGCGAGCGUUGUCCGGAAUUAUUGGGCGUAAAGGGCUCGUAGGCGGUUUGUCGCGUCGGGAGUGAAAUCAUCUGGCUUAACUGGGUGCUUGCUUUCGAUACGGGCAGACUAGAGGUAUGCAGGGGAGAACGGAAUUCCUGGUGUAGCGGUGAAAUGCGCAGAUAUCAGGAGGAACACCCGUGGCGAAAGCGGCUCUCUGGGACGGUACUGACGCUGAGGAGCGAAAGUGUGGGGAGCGAACAAG
This 253-nucleotide ribosomal RNA is filed under the name uncultured bacterium. RNAcentral's name for it is "partial 16S ribosomal RNA". It matches the Rfam family "Bacterial small subunit ribosomal RNA", at positions 524 to 776 of the family's 1533-position model. The record is from RNAcentral.